RNAcentral lists this ribosomal RNA (1250 nucleotides) under metagenome. RNAcentral's name for it is "bacterial LSU rRNA". It matches the Rfam family "Bacterial large subunit ribosomal RNA", at positions 1635 to 2877 of the family's 2925-position model. The record is from RNAcentral.
AAUACGACCGUACCGCAAACCGACACUGGUGCGCGAGAUGAGUAUUCUAAGGCGCUUGAGAGAACUCAGGAGAAGGAACUCGGCAAAUUGACACCGUAACUUCGGAAGAAGGUGUGCCCUAUUAGUGUGUAGUGAACAACGAAGCAUGAAUGGGUUGCAAAAAAUCGGUGGCUGCGACUGUUUAUUAAAAACACAGCACUCUGCAAACACGAAAGUGGACGUAUAGGGUGUGACGCCUGCCCGGUGCUGGAAGAUUAAAUGAUGGGGUGCAAGCUCUUGAUUGAAGUCCCAGUAAACGGCGGCCGUAACAAUAACGGUCCUAAGGUAGCGAAAUUCCUUGUCGGGUAAGUUCCGACCUGCACGAAUGGCGUAACGAUGGCCACACUGUCUCCUCCUGAGACUCAGCGAAGUUGAAAUGUUUGUGAUGAUGCAAUCUCCCCGCGGAAAGACGGAAAGACCCCAUGAACCUUUACUGUAGCUUUGUAUUGGACUUUGAACAGAUCUGUGUAGGAUAGGUGGGAGGCUUUGAAGCAGGGUCGCUAGAUCUUGUGGAGCCAACGUUGAAAUACCACCCCGGUGUGUUUGAGGUUCUAACCUAGGUCCAUUAUCUGGAUCGGGGACAGUGCAUGGUAGGCAGUUUGACUGGGGCGGUCUCCUCCCAAAGCGUAACGGAGGAGUUCGAAGGUACGCUAGUUACGGUCGGACAUCGUGACGAUAGUGCAACGGCAUAAGCGUGCUUAACUGCGAGACUGACAAGUCGAGCAGAUGCGAAAGCAGGACAUAGUGAUCCGGUGGUUCUGUAUGGAAGGGCCAUCGCUCAACGGAUAAAAGGUACUCUGGGGAUAACAGGCUGAUACCGCCCAAGAGUUCAUAUCGACGGCGGUGUUUGGCACCUCGAUGUCGGCUCAUCUCAUCCUGGGGCUGUAGCCGGUCCCAAGGGUAUGGCUGUUCGCCAUUUAAAGAGGUACGUGAGCUGGGUUUAAAACGUCGUGAGACAGUUUGGUCCCUAUCUUCCGUGGGCGCUGCAGAUUUGAGGAAGCCUGCUCCUAGUACGAGAGGACCGGAGUGGACACACCUCUGGUGUAUCGGUUGUCACGCCAGUGGCAUUGCCGAGUAGCUAAGUGUGGAAGAGAUAACCGCUGAAAGCAUCUAAGCGGGAAACUCGUUUCAAGAUGAGAUCUGCCGGGGCCUUGAGCCCCCUAAAGAGUCGUUCAAGACCAGGACGUUGAUAGGUCAGGUGUGGAAGCUAA